AUAACAUUGAAUUACAUUUAUACCUUCUGCUUGACAGAAGGUGAGAAUUCGAGUGUGACAUGCGAGUAAAUGCAAGUCAGUGUGAACAGUACAGGGGUACUGUUCAUCUAUUUAUAGGCACAGGACGCAGCCUGUGAGAAAUUACAUUCAUGCCCUUUACAAAUGCUUACAAUCAUAAUACAAGCUAUCAUGGGUCGAUUGGUCAUUUCAUCUUUAAGUCGGUUCACUCCUUCGUCUUGAGACAUGCCACUAUGUCGAAGCUUUAUGGAUGAAAGCUUCGGCACUGCUUUUGAGAGGAUCUGCCGAAGGUGUUUCUUUCUACAGGAUCUUCGGCGACGAAGCAUAUCCCCAACAGUAGCCCCUUCGCGGUGUUAGAUCGUUUUUCGUAACGAGCUUGAUCCGUGAAAAAUCCUCCUAGGCUUUGGAAUGCCGAAGGUCCGAAAAACACCUUCCCUGAGCUCGUUGCCGAGAAACGAUUAAAAUAUUCCGAGCGCGAGAUGGCCCCACCAUGCGGCGGGUACACGCGUCCUGGCGAUUCACCUUCUCGGGUUCUGUGGCCCACCAUUCAGUGGGUGCGGGCGAUUGUUCGUCCGGUGCGGAAGACUUGACGAUUCACCUUCUCACCUGCGGCACUAUAUAAACAAACGGGUAGAUGUGAAGUUACCACAUCAUUCAUUGCUAUUGCACUGUUUUGCUGCCAAAAAUUUGACCAUAGCCGAAGCUUGUUCAUCGCAUUCAACCGAAGCACUGCUGUUGGUUUUGCUUCGUCACAAGAGGAAGAGCUUCGGAAAAAUUUAAAAAGUCAACAACUUCAUCAAAAAUUGUGAGGAAUCCAUCAUCAAAUGGCAAGGGUGCGCUCCACUGCCAGGGUUACACGUGACGAAGAAGAAGCCGAAGCUGCUGAAACUGCUCUGAUUUCCGAAGUGAUGAAACGGUCGGGGCUGGUAGCGCCAGAGGAUGUUUCUGACGAAGGUGUACCUGUCGUUGAAGCUGAGCAGGUUGGUGCUGAGGAAGGUGAAUCUGAAGAUGAUUAUAGUGACGUGCCAUCUAAACCCAGCCACCUGGAGUUUAAGAGGUCCACUGUUACCGAAGAUGAUGUGCCUAAGUUGAUGAAGUUAGGCUAUUUCAGUGAGGCCAAAAAGGGACUAAUUCGCUUUGGCAGAGAGGAAAUUACUCCGAAACCAGAAAAGGAUGAGGUGGUAGUUUUUAAAAGCUUCUUUAAAGCAGGAUUAAGAUUUCCUUUGAAUGAGAUGAUUGUGGAUCUUUUGGGGAAGUUUGGGAUUUAUCUUCAUCAACUAACUCCCAACGCCAUCGUUAGACUUAGCGUCUACAUCUAGGCUCUUCGAAGCCAAUGGGCAGAACCGCUUGCCGAAGGCUUCUGCCGGGCUCAUUAGCUUCAUUAUCAGACAAAAGCUAGAGAAGAUGGGUUGCACGAAAACUUCAGAUGCUAUAAUUUUGCUUAUCGCAAAGAUGCGAAGACUCCAGUUAUCAGCUAUCAUACCAAAUGGCUAGCUGGCUGGAAGACUGAAUGGUUUUAUGUCAAAGUUGAUGAGAAAAAGGAGAAGCUGGUUCAAAUCCCAUUAGAAUUAAUCUUCACAGAGACUAGGCCCCAAUGCAACAUGGCACCGGAGAGUCCAUGCCAGAUUGCACUAGGCGAAUUUUGAGUUAUUGCGGAGCACAUUGGUACUAGGGAUCUGGUGCAAGAAUUCUUAGCUUUUAGAGUAUUCCCGACUUUGAAAGAAUGGGACAUGCCGAAGCUCAAAGGGAAAAAGAAAGAGAAGGAACUUGUUCGGUUGCCUUAUUAUUAUAAAUUCAAGAAACACUUCAAAGAACCUUGCCAAGAAUGGUUAGACACGAUUGAAGUUAUGUGCAACGAGAUCCUUGGCAACUAUUCCAAAAAAGAAGAUCAAUUAAUGACUGCAGUCUUCGGCACUUGACCAAAGCAAAGGUUGAACCAGGUGAUAGAUGCCCUGAACUUUGAGUAUCCUGACUAUGAGCGUUUGGAGAGAGGUGCCGAAGGACAAAAAAGAAAAAGAGUUGCAAGCGCUCUGGAUAAAGAAGCUGCUAAACUGGUGAAAAGGAUGAAAAAAACUUUAAAGAAAAGAAAAUUAAGCCCUGAGCCGAAGGUAGCUGCUUCGAAGAAGAAGAAAACUGUGGCUCUGAAGCAAAAAACGACUGAUAUUGAGGAUGAAGCUCCUUCAACACCUCCUGCUACCGAUGUGGAAGAAAUUUUAAAGGUAAUUACUGAAUCUUUGCCUGUCAAGCUAAGUCCACUAGGGCCACAUCUGACGAAGCUUUUUCAGAAGGAAAAGGAGCCUUCGGCAGCGAAGAAUCCAAAUGAGCCAAAAAACGAAGAAUUAUUCAUGUAGUUGAAGUUAUCGAGCAGACACCGCCGCUGUCAUCGGCGUCAAAGACUCCAGCUAUUGAGAGCAUUGUUGCUGCCGAAGCUGCACCCAUCGAAGCCGAAAGUGUCGAAGCUAAAACCGCUGAAAUGUCAAUCUAGACGCCACACUCUCUGAAAUUGAUGCCAUGCUUCUAAAUGCGGCCGCGGAACAAGCUGCUGCAGCCGCUGAAGAGAUCUCGGGCACAAUGGCUGGAAAAGGAAAGAAGAAAGCCGAGGAUAUUUCGGAAGAAGAGGACUUCAAUUUUCAAGAUAUACUUGGGCAAGAAUUGUCGAAGGCUGAAAAAGAAGAACUGAAAGAAUAUGCUAUAUCUUGUGGGUACAGACCAGGUGCGUUACUCUUCGGGGGAGUCAAUGAAGAAAGCUUAGGAUGCCUUCGGGACCACACUGGGGCGAAGGUUGUCGGCACUAUAUCAAAGAGUGUUGGCCUCUCGAAGGUUGAAGCAGACCUCAGCAGGUACCGGCGGCAGCAUAUCGCCAGUAGUCUAUUUUAUGCUAACUUUAAGGUAAAAUUCUUAAUUUUUCGUUGUUUUGAUAUGAAGAUUGUUUUUCUGAUGAAGCUUAAUUUAUCAGAGCUUACUGUUGAGCAAAAUCCUGAGGAUGCAACAAGACCUCGAGGACAAAAAGAACGAAGUUAUAACUGAGGGCCUGGAGAAGAAGAUUAAAGACCAUGAGGCUACCCUGGAGAAAAAAGACUUCGUACUUCAAACCAUGGAAGGUUCACUGGCGAAGGCCCAGGCCGAAAUUGCUAGAUUGAAUAGUGAGCUCUCCAUGGAAAAUAAAAAUUUUGAAGCCAAACUCGAAGCUGAAGCUGAGAAAAAUUCAAAUUUGCAGAAAUUACUGAAAGAACUUCAAGAAAAAUGCGUAAACAUCAGCAAACAGUGCCUGCAGCGGCUGAAGCAGGUUUUCAACUCGGUUGGAGCCAGCACUGUGAGAUUCAGUCCUUCGGUUGAGAACCUGCCGGAAACCUUCGAAUAUAUUGAGGGCGAAGUUGAUGCACUCGACGAAGUUAUAGCUGGACACGCCGAUUUCUACGCUCUGCUAGCUUCUCGGGGCACAUCUGUUGCCUUCAUAAAAUCUGGCUGCGUACAUGGAAAAAUUGUCAACAGACCAAAUUUUAACUUAUCACCGACAGAUUUAAUUGAUAUACCUAGCCUAGCUCGGAGUAUAGGAAAUAGAUUUAUAACUCAGAUUUGGGUAAAAGGCGGGCGAAAAAUGGCUGGCGACGAAGCUCGAAGCCGCCUUAAGCCGGUAAGAAAUUUGUGCCUGUUACUUUACCUUCUCCUUGAACUCUGCACUUCUCUCAUACCGUUUUAGUAUGUACAGGAUGGCGAUGCUGAGGAACAAUGAGCCGAAGCUUGACAGGUGAUCCGGAGCUCAGAUGAUCCGAAGCUCAAUGAUGUCAAAGCUGAAGACCUUGCUGAAAAUUUCUAGAGAAAAUCUUGUAAUAUCGUUGUAAAAAUAUUUGUAAUUUAAAAAUCAAAUACUAAUUCUGUAAAUUUGUGCAUACCUUGUAAUAUAUUUUUACCUUUUCGUCCAUGUUUGAACUGCUUUGCUGUGGACGAAACUAGUAUUUUUUUGAGCCAAAGGCGAAAAACACCUUCCCUUCUUUUCGUACACAACGAAGCAUGAAACUGCUUCUUUUUUUUGCCGAAGCCUUAUUUUUAUGUCCGAAACAUCCGCCUGUGUCUGUAUGUUAUGAUGAUGAUCCUAUGUAUGUCUAAAUGAAUGUUUAUGAAUGCAAAUAUAUGAUGUAAUGUGUCGUGCAAAUGAAUGUCCAAAGACACACAUACAAAGCCACAACCAUAGCCUUUAUUCCCUUGGGAAUGACCAAAGUCUCUUUGCCGUUUAUUUUUCGGCUUCACCGCUUAUUUUUCGGUGUAUCAGCGCUGACUUUUCGCUGUAAGUUCUGCAUCACCUUAGGAACGUCUUUUGAACUUCUUCGCCUUCUAUUUCGACGGUAUCGCGUUGACUUUUUGCGCUUCGCCUUUUAUUUCGGCGGAAUCAACGUUGACUUUUCGUUGUAAGCUCUGCAUUCCCUUUGGAACGACUUUUGAGUAGAAAACUUACGCUGCGCUCCCUUAGGAACGGCUUUUUGUAGCUUCAUCGUGCUCUGCAUCCCCUUAGGGACGACUUUCGAGCUUCUCCCUAUUUUUUCCUCUUUUCCUGCACUCGAUGGUGCAUGCUCAGCUUUUACAUCUACAUAUCUGGGGGAUUUUGCUCUCGUAGAGCUGAAUAAGAAAAAGAGAAAUUACAUUCUAUGGCCCCAUUAAAAACCUUUCUCCCCCUUUGGAAAGGAAAAGGGUGCCAUAGGAAAAAUAAAAAGAUUACAUCAAGCUAAACAUAAUAUCGCCGAAGCUCAUCCGCAUUCCAAGAUCUAGGAAUGUCGUUGCCGUCCAUAUCCUUCAAUCUGUAAGAACCGGGUCUUGACGAAGAUACUACCAGAAAAGGUCCUUCCCACUUCAACUGUAGCUUGCCUACUGUAUCUGGGUUGGCCACUCUCCGAAGUACCAAAUGCCCUGGCUUAAUGUUCUUUAGCCAAACUUUUCUAUCACGCCAUUUUAUUGUUUUGGCUUGGUAUUUAUUGAUAUUCUCCACGGCCUGAAGCCUGAUCCCUUCUAUAGCAUCUUUUGCCACAGAAUAAUCAGCUUCGUCCUCUGCCGAAGCUACUGUUCUUAUUGAUCCUGCCUUAGCUUCUUUUGGGGUUAUUGCUUCGUCACCUACCAAACAAUAGUUUGAAUGGUGUAAAACCUGUUGACCUUGAUAUUGUUGUAUUGUGGCUCCACACCACUUUGAUCAAUUCAUCUAGCCACUUUCCUCUGGGCUGAUUGAAGAUUAACUUCAUUAUUCCCGUCAUUAUAAUGCCAUUAGCUCUUUCAACAUGUCCAUUUGACUCUAGAUGUCUGACCGAUGCAAAAUGAAUCUUCGUGCCAAUUUGUUCACAGAAUUCCUUGAAAGCUUCAGCAUCGAACUGUGUUCCGUUGUCUACAGUAAUAGCCUUCGGCACUCCAAAGCGACAAACAAUGUUUUGCCAGAAGAAUUUCUGGACGGUGACUGAGGUUAUUGUGGCUAAAGGCUUCGCCUCAAUCCACUUGAAAAAAUACUCUACCGCCACCACAACAUAUUUUAGAUUUCCUUGUGCUGGUGGAAGUGGGCCUAGCAAAUCGAGGCCCCACCUUUGCAACAGUCAAGUGGGCUGUAUUAACUGAGUGAGAGAUGAAGGCUGCUUCUGGUCUCUUGCACAUUUUUGGACUAAUUCUGCUGCAUCCGAAGCUGCCUUUGGCCAGUAAAAUCCUUGUCGAAAAACUUUUCCCAACAAGGGCCUAGAUCCAAUGUGAGAUCCACACAGACCUGCAUGUAUCUCUUUCAUUAAUUCCAUACCUUCAGUUCUUGAUAAACACUUGAGGAGUGGUGAACAAACUCCAUGUUUAUACAAUUCCCCUUCUAUUAUCACAUAUGGUCUUGUUCUUGCCUCUAUUCUCUUGUUAUAAGCUUCAUCACUUGAGAGACAAUUGCCUUGGAGGAAAGAUAUUAUUUCAGUUCUCCAGUCUUCACUGUGUACUGGAGAAAUAGUAAGCACUGCUCUCUCCAUGAGCUCAACCGAAGGUGCUUUUAUUGUUUCAAAAAAUACUUCCAAGGGUAGAGGGAGCCCCUGAGCCGCUGAUUUGGCUAGCAAAUCUGCAUGUUCAUUUUCACCUCUUGGAAUAUUCUUGACAGAAAAACCUUCGAAGGAAGCUUCCAACCUUCGAACUGCAUCCAAAUAUCUUUCAAGCUUCGGAUCUCGUGCCUUGUUACUUUUGUCCACGUGGCCAGCAAUAACUUGAGAAUCAGUCUUUAGGAUGGCCCUUCUUAUUCCCAUUGCCCUUAGUUUCCGAAGCCCCAACAGAAGUGCUUCGUACUCAGCAAUAUUAUUUGUACAAUUGAAAUCUAGUUUGACUGCAUAACAUGUUUUGACUUUUAAAGGUGCUACUAGGACCGCAACUGCUCCUGCACCGAAAGCUCCCCAAGAACCAUCGCAAAACACUGUCCAAGCUUCGGCAUCUUUGCUUGUCCCCUCUUCGUGAGCCCCUGGCGUCCAAUCAGCGAUGAAAUCUGCUAGCGCUUGGGAUUGAAUUGAAGAUCUGUGCACGUAGUCAAUAGUGAAUUCAUUAAGCUCCACGGCCCAUUUUCCAAUCCUUCCAGUAGCUUCUCUAUUCCUCAUGAUAUCCUUUAGGGGCUGUGAUGAAGGAACAAUUAUGUGAUAUGCUUGAAAAUAAUGCCGAAGCUUCCUGGACACCAUUAACACAGCAAACAACACCUUCUCCAAUUCUGUAUAGUUUUUCUUUGAUAAACUCAAAACUUCGGAGACAAAGUAUAUUGGGACUUGCUUUUUAGCUUGUCCUUCAAGCUUCUCUUGUACAAGCGCCGCACUCACUGCAGAGUGCGAAGCUGCCACAUAUAAUAGCAAUGGAGCCCCUAGCACGGGUGGAGUUAAUGUUGUUAAAUCGAUCAGGUAUUGCUUUAGCUCUUCGAAGGCUUUCUGUUGAGUUGGGCCCCAUUGAAAAACUUUAGUUGACUUUAAUACUUCAAAGAAUGGUAAAUUUCUUUCUGUUGAUCUAGAUAUAAAUCGAUUCAAAGAUGCCAGUAUUCCCGUCAAUCGUUGGGCCCCCUUCUUUGUGCUUGGCGGCUCCAUUCGAAGGAUAGCUUCGAUCUUGCUUGGGUUGGCUUCGAUCCCCUUCGUUGAAACUAGACAGUCAAGGAACUUGCCCUUCUUCACUCCGAAGACACAUUUUUCUGGAUUUAAUUUUAGGCCAGUUUGCCUGAAAUUAGCAAAUGUUUCCUGCAAAUCAGUAAUGUGGUUUUCUUGCUUCGUGCUCUUCACUAUGAUAUCAUCAACAUAUGUUAUCACAUUUCUGCCUAUCUGAGAAUGAAGAACCUUGGCCGUCAUCCUGCUGAAGCUUCCUCCAGCAUUCUUGAGCCCCUCAGGCAUCCGAAGAUAACAAUAUGUACCACUGGGGGUUAUGAAGCUGGCCUUUGGCUCAUCUUCCUUCUUCAUCCAGAUUUGGUUGUAGCCUAAAUAACAAUCUAGUAGACUCAUGAGCUUUGACGAAGCUGCUGCAUCUACUAGAGAAUCUAUUCUUGGUAAUGGGAACUCAUCCUUUGGACAAGCCUUGUUCAGAUUAGUAAAAUCAAUGCACAUUCUCCAUUUACCAUUGGCCUUCUUCACCAUGACAGUGUUGGCUAGCCAUUCUGGAUAUUUUACUUCUCUGAUGACACCAGCACUGAGAAGUCUUUUUACUUCGUUCCGAGCACCUUCAGCUUUAUCGUCAGACAUUUUUCGAAGCUUUUGCUUCCUGGGUCUGAAGGAUGGAUCGACAUUGAGUGAAUGUUCAAUGACGUCCAUGUUGACACCACAGAGAUCGUUGGGUGACCAUGCAAAAACAUCUUUGUUGUUGAAUAAAAACCUUAUCAAGGUUUUCUCCUGCUCUUCAGAUAAAUGGGACCCCAGCAAUACCUUCUGCUCUGCUAUGUCUUCACAUAGAAGCAUGGGCUUCGGCUGAUCAGCCGAAGCAGCCUUCUCUCUUCUGUACUUAUAUUGCUCACAAACUUUGGCUCCAUCUAUGUUGUUGAUUGCUUUUGAAUCUGUCCAAUUUCCUUCGGCCUUUCUAGCAGCUUCCUGACUGCCAUGAAUAGCAAUGGGUCCUUGUUUCGAAGGUAUCUUCAUGCAUAAAUAUGCUGGAUGAAGUAUUGCUUCGAAAGCGUUGAGUGUCCCAUGACCAAUGAUUGCAUUGUAGGGGUAUUCCAUGUCGACAAUAUCAAACACAAUCUGUUUAGUCCUUGUGUUGUGGACAAAUUCAAAGGUUACUGGCAUUGUGAUCUUGCCAAGUGCUACAAUCUGUCUUCCUUCGAAGCCACAAAGAGGGUGCGUAGCAUCAUGAAUUUUGUCCUCUAGCUCCUGCAUCUGUCUGAAGGCCUUAGCGAAUAUGAUGUGAGUUGCACUGCCUGUAUCAACCAGAACAUUGUGGACCAGAAAUCCCUUAAUGACACAAGAUAUGACCAUAGCAUCAUUGUGAGGGUAAUCUUUGAGCUGAAGGUCUUCCUGGGAGAAGGUGAUUGGGAUGUGGGACCAUUUUGACUUGAUGAAGGGUCCCUGCACCCCAACAUGUUGCACCCUUCUCUGAGCUUCCUUCUUCUGCUUCUUGUUGGCUGGCUCUGAGCAUGAACCGCCUGUUAUUGGGAGCACCCGCUUCGUAGCCGAAGCAGCUUCAACUUGGUUGCCGGACGAAGCCAUCAGCUCGAAAGUGGAAGUGAGUUGACCGGAGGUGGGCGCCAAUGUUGGGCACUUGUUCUCAAAUGCUAUGAAUUAAGAACAAGGCAACACAAAAGUUAAUGGUUAAAGACCUUCGUCCUUCGAAGGAUUAUUUCCCUUAGGAUAUAAUGAUCUUCAGACGAAGGUCAUGAAUGACGUACCUUCGUCAUUUCAAUAAGCAAUAGAAAACAGGAUCAUAUGACACAUAUAAAACAUGAAUAAUCAUAUGAUAUCAUUCAGACAUUUUUAUUAUAUAAUCAUGAAUAGACAUGGAUAACAUUGAAUUACAUUUAUAACUUCGGCUUGACAGAAGGUGAGAAUUCGAGUGUGACGUGCGAGUAAAUGCAAGUCAGCGUGAACAAUACAUGGGUACUGUUCAUCUAUUUAUAGGCACAGGACGCAGCCUGUGAGAAAUUAUAUACAUGCCCUUUACAAAUGCUUACAAUCAUAAUACAAGCUAUCACGGGUCGAUUGGUCAUUUCAUCUUUAAGUCAGUUCACUCCUUCGUCUUGAGACAUGCCACUAUGCCGAAGCUUUAUGGGUGAAAGCUUCGGCACUACUUUUGAGAGGAUCUGCCGAAGGUGUUUCUUCCUACAGGAUCUUCGGCGAUGAAGCAUAUCCCCAACAACCGUUCGUCGUUAAAUCCUCAAUACAUAUGUUCUAUCCACACUUCGACCCGCAACCGCGAGUAGCUGGUUCAUCGCUCGCCAGGCUUGGCUUCCUGGCACUUGUGAUCGCUGCCCUGCUGAAGCAAGGAAGAAGACGAACCCAGGGCCCUUGAUCUCGCAAUGAAUGGUUAGGAUUAGAGGGAAUGGUGUAGAAGCCAGGGCUGUAGGAUUUUAAACGGAUGGCGUAGAUCAAAUUUUGUGUACCCCUUCACCCCGCGGAAUUCGGGCGGUUGGAUCAUAAUCGUGUGGUUCAGAUCUGGGCUGGAUUCCAUUAAAUGCGGACCGUUAGAUCCUGAUCUGAGGCCCUAUAUUCCAUACCCUUUUCGAAGAAAUCAAAUCUAAUUUGCAUCAUCAGUUGGGGAUCGAACGGCCAGAUCUGGCCGAUACCCCUUCGGUCGAUAAACUUACAUAAGAGACCGUGGAAACCCCAGUAAUAAACCCGCCAUCCAACUCAGGGUUAAACUGAGUCUAGGAAAUUUUUGUAGGUUAGCCCCCAACCUCUCUGGAUUUAUGCGCCUAGUCCAGAGCUCAGGGAAAUUAGAUAAUUAAAUUUAGAAAGUGAUUUUCACUACACAAAUAAUUCUAGAAACUUGUGAAAUUCGUAUUUAAUUUAUUUUAGCUCCAAAUUGAUCCAAUCCAGUGGCAUUAAUUUUGUAAUAAUAUUGUCUAUCAACUAGUAGCUCUGUUUAGUCAUGCAACUUGAAUUAAAAUUAUUCACUUGAGUUAUUCUAAUCUAGCUACUAAAUAACUUUAGAAAUUCAUAACUAAAUAACUGUAACUCUGAAUUUAGUGAUUCUUGUUCCUACGAUCUCGUUACGACACGUAGAAUAUUAUCGUGCAUUCUAUUCUGUUGUUUGGUGUGAUGUUAUAUUUUUUUAUACCAUGUUUGUUUGUAUUGUUGCGAGUAGACGAGCCAUCCACAGAGGAUCCAGGGGUUCAUCAGGUAGAGACUGCUGAGCAGGAGCUCGUUAAAGGCAAGUUGUGCCCUUGAUCCUGGCCCCUGGGAUGGUGAUAUCCUGGCCCAAGGCUUAAUAGAAUUAAUAGAGUAUUCAUAUCAACAAGGUGCAUCUUCUUUUUCAGAAGCCUAUAUUGAAAGAACCUCAAAGUUAAGCGUGCUUGGCUUGGAGCAAUUUAGGAUGGAUGACCGACUAGGAAGUUUUCUCGGGUGCGCAUGAGUGAAGACAAAGUGCGCACAAAAGACUCGUGUUGGUCUGUGGGGCCAAUAUAUGAUCCUAGAGAGCUGCCAGGAGUAAGUACCACCGAUCCGAGAUUGGACGGGGUGUUACAAAUAGUAUCAGAGCCAACCCUCGCGGUUUCAUGGGCAUAUGUGGGCUAGGGGUUCGGGUAUAUGGCGCAUGGCGCAUGUGGACCCAGAGUGGUCAUAUAGCAUGGCAUAUGAUGAUACUAGACAUACAGACGUGGCCAAGAGGGGAGGUUCCUGGAUUGGGGUUGACCGACGAGGACGUCGGAUCUUCUAAGGGGAUGGAUUUUGAUAUCCUGGCCCCUGGGAUGGUGAUAUCCUACCCCAAGGCUUAAUAGAAUUAAUAGAGUAUUCAUAUCAACAAGUUGCAUCUUCUUUUUUGGAAGUCUAUCUCGAAAGAACCUCUAAGUUAAGCGUGCUUGGCUUGGAGCAAUUUGGGAUGGGUGACCGACCGGGAAGUUUUCUCGGGUGCGCAUGGGUGAGGACAAAGUGCACACAAAAGACUCGUGUUGGUCUGUGGGGUCAAUAUAUGAUCCUAGAGAGCUGUCAGGAGUAAGUAUCGUCGGUCCGGGAUUGGACGGGGUGUUACAAAACAACACUUUAUGCUGAGCUACGUCUUCACACAAAAGCAUAGACUUUGGUUGUUCUGCCGAAGCAGUUUUAUCUCUUAUGUAUUUAUGUUGCUGGUGAGCUUCGACUUCGUCUAUAUUGUGAAUGGCCAUAAACAUUUUUUAUGCCUAUAUGCAUAUGCAGAUGCAAUUGUGGAUAUUACUCCACAACUCAUGAUCAAUCAAAGAACCAAAUCAAACAGUUAUCAUAGGAACAAACAUUCAAGCGUAUAGAUACUUACAAAAAUAGUUUUGUUUUUGUUCCUAAGAUUAGGUCUCCUUUUCCUAAAGGUCACUUUAGGUAAAGGAUUUCAAAGUGUGAAAUCCACCUUUGUCAUUGGAAGAGAAAAGGUAACAAUAAUCAGAGUAAAGCAACAAUAGAUGAGAAAAGAUUAAGAUAAGUUUAUAAAGAAUCUGAGUAGCAAAGGUAAGUAGGUAAGGGUUGUCCGUUCUAUAUAGGUUUUGUCCUAGAGUCAACAUUCGUCUGAUACCACUUCUGUCACACCAGGAUUUAGGGGGCCAAACCCUGGCGCGGUUCACAUGUGUGCUAGGAUCAAGUCUCACACAUAUGAUGACUCAUGGUACAGAAACGAAUGUCACAACUUUAAUAUAUAAUAGAGUUCUAUACAAAAUAGUUAAAUAAUUACAUCAUAUGAAGACAACGAUCUAGCAACUAAAGUUGACUUGGAGACGACGGCCUAGACCACUCACGAACUCAUCACAACAUCCUUCACACGCCUCAUCCUGUGGUACCUGUACUUGACCUAGGGAAUGUGAGUACAACAAGGGUGAGCUCACAUACGUUCAUCACGCAACAAGUUGUGGGGAAUAAUGUGCAUGAGCUCACUUACGGUGGGCCUCAUGUGAAGUGUAAGGCUUACCAAAGGAGAUGGUUAAAGCUGAGCAUUGCUUUUAGAGUUGGUCAAAAUUUUGUUAGCAGUUAAUUACUAAGUAUAAGUAGAUACCAACCCAAUUAAAUAAGAGAUCACAAUUGAUAAUAACACCCACAAUGCAAUGCAUAUGACAGAUUAAGUUUAAUUCCAUAAUUUAAUCAUGCGAGAGUCCUAAGUCGCUCUUGACCAUGAGCACGGCUGAUAUACCAGUUUUACACUCUGCAGAGGUUGCACCCUUUACCCACAAGUCGUGUAUCUCGUCUACCCAGGGUUUGCAAGGCCCUUAGACACUUCUGAGGUGAAUGGAUAGGGAUCCACUACGAGGCCUUUACAAAGCUCCACUAGCUUUGAAAACCCGCUAUGGUUUCUGAGAAGGGCAAUAUAGGAAUCCCUCGUCCAAAAGUCAUCGCAGCAUGAUCAACCCGAGAACCUCCCUAUACACAGCUCCUCUACCGCCCUUGCCUCUUUCGGGUAAGGUAGUCCUCCACUAGCUUUUCUAAUUAGUCAGCCAAGGGCGUCCCAUGCCACCCUUGUGAUAGCACAGAUAUCUCAAGUUAAGCUCCAUGUUCCAAUUAACACAAUGAUCUUGCCAUGAACAAUAAUUAAAACAACAGCAUAACUGGAACAUGAUCAAAAUAUAACAUUAAUUUCACAAAACCAGGUAGAGUAAUAGCAAAACUACCCAAUAGUUCUUUUGUCUGCAAGGUGUGGGAUAAACAAUGCUAGGGAAGCCUAUUAGGUACCAUCAAAUUAAUCUAAGCAUGUCACAGUGAUUAACAGGAACAUUAAUGGGUAAAGAGAAAAGUGAUCAAGGUCACAACUUGCCUUACACUUGAGAUCCUAGGUACCAAGUUGGUCUUCAGAUUCUCGUGACCUCACCGUUAUUCGUAGCAAUACAUACAAUCAAGCAAGUAAUGGAUAUAAUUACAUUACACCAAAGCAUAUGAACAAACAACAUAAGAGUAUCCUACGCGCUGCUACAAGAUCAUAGGCUCGAGAACCACUAAAUUCGGAGUUACUGUUAAAGAGUUAUGAUUUUCUGAGGAUUUAAGUGUUAGAUCUAAAACAAAUUAAGUACAUAAUUUUAACCAUGUUUUCAUACUAAAAUAAGGUUACUAGAUGAUAAACAAUAUUAACAUGAAUUUAUUGCAACUGGAAUGGAUUAAAAACGAGUUAAACUAAAAUACUUAUGAAUUAAACAAGGUUCUGGAAUUAUUUUUAUGCUAGAAAUAUUUUUCUUUAUUAAUUUUACUCAUUUUAUUUAAUCCUUGUACUGCGACCACUAUUUCAGAAGAGUUUAGGGUUUAUUUUGUAAAUUCAAGGACUCCUUUGUAACACUCUUGCAAAAGGGAUGGGCGGCGGGUUAGUUUGUCAGAAGGGCAGGGUCUCCAUAGGAAAAUUGUUCGGCGAAGGAGUACGAUAGAUUCUGAGUCGUUGGAUUCAUGAUCUAUGGUUACGGUUAAUAUCGCGAAUGAUAUGCUUCCUAGGCCACAGGAUCAGCGAUCAAUGACCCCGGAUUAGUCCUGCACCCUUAAGUUGAAUUCAACUCCCAACCGCACGAUCCCGAUCAGACGAUCGUGAUUUUAUUAAGUCCAGAUUUCAUCACAGUCAUCCAUCGUCGAAUCAGCGAUUCCCAUGCAAUCCCCUGGACCAGGCACCCAUCAUCUAAUUCUGGGCGCCAGAUGAAGAUCCAACGGCCAGGGUUGUUUCUUCUUCCCUGAUACCGGACCACGGUGGCGCAGGCACUAGGCGGCGGUGCCAUUGCCAUCGCACACCCCCCAGCAACAAAGAGCCCAAACCUUACCGUAAAACACAGCUACGCGAGGUGGAGACCAUGCAUAGACGGGUUGUGGGGUCUUACCUGUGAAUCGAGAGUCGCAUGGCCCAUGUCCACGACGAUCCGCUGACCGCCACGAAACUCCACAUCAGCGUGAGAUUACCGGCCUUCCAUUCGCACGGUUAGUCCACGAGAACAUUGCCUGGUCCCAAGUCGGCCCUCGCGUUCUCUAGUGGUACCCGUGGACACCCAGCACGACGAAGCCCGAGCGAUGGCGGUCAUCUUUUCACACCCGCAUCUCCCGCAGCAACGGUGACCAUAUAUACUGCUAUGGAGCCCGCGGAUCGGGGCCAGCUUCAGCAAUAUGCAACGACUUCAAGGAAUCACGGAGUUUGUUGCAGCGCGCAAACAAGGCCAGGCAGGGCUCCCCAUGAAUCACGGUGGAGUUUGUU
RNAcentral lists this long non-coding RNA (14289 nucleotides) under Zea mays. RNAcentral's name for it is "long non-coding RNA (ZMAY_LNC004652)". The record is from RNAcentral. Lineage: Eukaryota; Viridiplantae; Streptophyta; Magnoliopsida; Poales; Poaceae.